AGUUGGUGGAGUGAUUUGUCUGGUUAAUUCCGUUAACGAACGAGACCUCAGCCUGCUAAAUAGUAUGCGCUUUCUCACGAAAGCGUAAGACUUCUUAGAGGGACAUUUCGGUUACACCGGAAGGAAGUUUGAGGCAAUAACAGGU
Molecule: ribosomal RNA, 145 nt
Filed under: Stramenopiles sp.
Lineage: Eukaryota
Description: partial small subunit ribosomal RNA
Rfam family: Eukaryotic small subunit ribosomal RNA
Source: RNAcentral